CGGUGUUUAACUGGCGUGAUGUGGGACGUCCUACCGGUGGGCUUAGCCUCGCGAGGGGCGGCCCAACUAAUAUCCCGUCGCGGUGCUCUUUACUGAGUGUCGAGUCGGGCCGGUACGUUUACUUUGAACAAAUUAGAGUGCUUAAAGCAGGCUAUCCUCGCCUGAAUACUGCGUGCAUGGAAUAAUGGAAUAGGACCUCGGUUCUAUUUUGUUGGUUUUCGGAACCCCGAGGUAAUGAUUAAUAGGGACAGAUGGGGGCAUUCGUAUUGCGACGUUAGAGGUGAAAUUCUUGGAUCGUCGCAAGACGGACAGAAGCGAAAGCAUUUGCCAAAAAUGUUUUCAUUAGUCAAGAACGAAAGUUAGAGGUUCGAAGGCGAUCAGAUACCGCCCUAGUUCUAACCAUAAACGAUGCCAGCUAGCGAUCCGCCGAAGUUCCUCCGAUGACUCGGCGGGCAGCUUCCGGGAAACCAAAGCUUUUGGGUUCCGGGGGAAGUAUGGUUGCAAAGCUGAAACUUAAAGGAAUUGACGGAAGGGCACCACCAGGAGUGGAGCCUGCGGCUUAAUUUGACUCAACACGGGAAACCUCACCAGGCCCAGACACCGGAAGGAUUGACAGAUUGAUAGCUCUUUCUUGAUUCGGUGGGUGGUGGUGCAUGGCCGUUCUUAGUUGGUGGAGCGAUUUGUCUGGUUAAUUCCGAUAACGAACGAGACUCUAGCCUGCUAAAUAGGCGUACCUUAUGGUAUCGCGAAGGCCCCCGGCUUCGGCCGGUGGGUUUUUACUACCAACGUACAAACAAAUCUUCUUAGAGGGACAGGCGG
RNAcentral lists this ribosomal RNA (819 nucleotides) under uncultured eukaryote. Its description in RNAcentral is "SSU rRNA". It matches the Rfam family "Eukaryotic small subunit ribosomal RNA", at positions 636 to 1426 of the family's 1831-position model. The record is from RNAcentral.